Molecule: non-coding RNA, 499 nt
Filed under: uncultured bacterium
Lineage: Bacteria
Also listed under: 1 other name
Description: bacterial SSU rRNA
Rfam family: Bacterial small subunit ribosomal RNA
Source: RNAcentral
AGAGUUUGAUCCUGGCUCAGUGCGGUUGGAUCACCUCCUUAGAGUUUGAUCAUGGCUCAGAGUGAACGCUGGCGGUGUGCUUAACACAUGCAAGUCGAACGAGAACGGGUCUAGCUUGCUAGACUGUCAGCUAAGUGGCGGACGGGUGAGUAAUGUAUAGUUAAUCUGCCCCCUAGAGAGGGAUAACUACUGGAAACGGUAGCUAAUACCUCAUACUCCUUUUGCCUUAAUGGUAAUUGGGAAAUGUCUUUUCGCUAGGGGAUGAGACUAUAUGGUAUCAGGUAGUUGGUGGGGUAAAAGCCUACCAAGCCAAUGACGCCUAGCUGGUCUGAGAGGAUGAUCAGCCACACUGGAACUGAGACACGGUCCAGACUCCUACGGGAGGCAGCAGUGGGGAAUAUUGCACAAUGGGCGAAAGCCUGAUGCAGCAACACCGCGUGGAGGAUGACACAUUUNGGUGCGUAAACUCCUUUUAUAUGGGAAGAUANGGACGGACCAA